UACGGGGGGAGCAAGCGUUGUUCGGAUUUACUGGGCGUAAAGGGCGCGUAGGCGGCCAGCACAAGUCAGUUGUGAAAUCUCCGAGCUUAACUCGGAAAGGUCAACUGAUACUGUGCGGCUAGAGUGCGGAAGGGGCAACUGGAAUUCUUGGUGUAGCGGUGAAAUGCGUAGAUAUCAAGAGGAACACCUGCGGCGAAGGCGGGUUGCUGGGCCGACACUGACGCUGAGGCGCGAAAGCUAGGGGAGCGAAACGGG
This 255-nucleotide ribosomal RNA is filed under the name uncultured bacterium. Its description in RNAcentral is "partial 16S ribosomal RNA". It matches the Rfam family "Bacterial small subunit ribosomal RNA", at positions 524 to 777 of the family's 1533-position model. The record is from RNAcentral.